GAGUAAAGAUUUCGGUCGCUUUGGGAGGAGCUCGCUUACUAUCAGCUUGUUGGUAGGGUAAUGGCCUACCAAGGCUAUGACGGUUAGGGGGUGUGAGAGCAUGACCCCCAGCAUUGGCACUGGAACACUGGCCAAACACCUACGGGUGGCUGCAGUCGAGAAUCUUCCACAAUGGGGGAAACCCUGAUGGAGCGAUGCUGCGUGCGGGAUGAAGGCCUUCGGGUUGUAAACCGCUUUUGUAGGGGACGAAAUUUUUGACGGUACCCUUUCGAAUAAGAGGUUGCUAACUCUGUGCCAGCAGCAGCGGUAAUACAGAGACCUCAAGCGUUAUCCGGAUUUACUGGGCGUAAAGCGUCUGUAGGGGGUUUAUUAAGUUCCAAGUAAAAUUUCAAGGCUCAACUUUGAAUUCGCUUGGAAAACUAAUAAACUGGAGUCUAGCAGAGGUGCAUGGAACUUGUGGUGUAGGAGUGAAAUCCGUUGAUAUCACAAGGAACACCAAAGGCGAAGGCAUUGCACUGGGCUAGCACUGACCCUGAGAGACGAAAGCGUGGGGAGCAAAACGGAUUAGAUACCCGUGUAGUCCACGCCCUAAACGAUGAAUGCUAAAUGUUCGGGGAUUCGACCCCCUGGGUGUUACAGCUAACGCGUUAAGCAUUCCGCCUGGGAAGUACGGCCGCAAGGCUAAAACUCAAAGGAAUAGACGGGGAUCCGCACAAGCGGUGGAGCGUCUGGUUUAAUUCGACAGUAAGCGUGGUACCUCACCAGGGUUUGACAUCCCUUGACAGCCUUGGAAACAAGGUUUCCUUCGGGCAAGGUGACAGGUGCUGCAUGGUCGUCGUCAGUUCGUGCCGUGAGGUGUUCCGUUAAGUCGGGAAACGAACGAAACCCCUAUUGCAUGUUACAAUUUCUCAUGCAAGACUGCCCGGAUAUACUGGGAGGAAGGUGGGGAUGACGUCAGAUCUGCAUGGUCCUUAUACCCUGGGCGACACAGGCGCUACAAUGGCAGAGACAAAGGGUUGCAAAACCGCAAGGUGAAGCUAAUCCCGAAAACUUUGUCUAAGUUCGGAUUGAAGGCUGCAAUUCGCCUUCAUGAAGCUGGAAUCGCUAGUAAUCGUGAAUCAGCCACGUCACGGUGAUAUGUUCCCGGAUCUUGUACUCACCGCCCGUCACACCAAGAGAGUUGGUAGCUCCCGAAGCGUCCCGUUUUAGCGGGGCAUCACGGAGAGAUCAGCGAUAGGGGUGAA
Molecule: ribosomal RNA, 1244 nt
Filed under: uncultured organism
Description: bacterial SSU rRNA
Rfam family: Bacterial small subunit ribosomal RNA
Source: RNAcentral